GCCAGUGUGGUAUAGUGGUUUGAGUGUUGGACUAUGACUCUGGAGAUCAGGGUUCAGUACCCCUCCUUGGCC
This is a non-coding RNA of Phrynosoma platyrhinos (Desert horned lizard), 72 nucleotides long. The record is from the annotation of a GenBank genome assembly. Lineage: Eukaryota; Metazoa; Chordata; Lepidosauria; Squamata; Phrynosomatidae.